UUCUUUGAACGCAAGUUGCGCCCGAAGCCAUUCCGGCCGAGGGCACGCCUGCCUGGGCGUCGUGAGACCCCCUGCCCCCGGGCACCCUAGCCGCACCGGCGGGGACGUGCCCGGGCGCGGAAUAUGGACUCCCGCGGGUUCGGCUCGCGCGGCGGGUCGAGGCGCGGUUGGCCGAAAAUCGAGCACGGCCGCGACGGGCCCCACGGCGAUCGGUGGAUCGAGCGAGAUUGGCUGCGUCGUGGGCUCGGCAUGCGGAGGGCUCCGGACUUUGACGAUCCCAAGCGCGAUCCCAGGUCAGGCGGGGCUACCCGCUGAGUUUAAGCAUAUCAAUAAGCGGAGGAAAAGAAACUAACGAGGAUUCCCUUAGUAGCGGCGAGCGAACCGGGAAGAGCCC
This is a ribosomal RNA of 394 nucleotides. The stretch from base 285 to 394 matches the Rfam family "Eukaryotic large subunit ribosomal RNA", at positions 1 to 110 of the family's 3401-position model.